This is a non-coding RNA of Pelobates cultripes (western spadefoot toad), 279 nucleotides long. NCBI's taxonomy places the organism in Eukaryota, Metazoa, Chordata, Amphibia, Anura, Pelobatidae. The record is from the annotation of a GenBank genome assembly.
UUGCAGCCUGUGAUGCAUUUCUUGCAGUCCUGAUGCAUGGAGAAAUGCUCAACUCCUGGUGCAUGGAGAAAAGGGGGAAUCAGGCAAGAAGGCGACGACGCAUUCGUAUGUCAAUCCAUAUCAACUUUCGAUGCCACUGACUGCGCCUACCAUGGUGACCAUGGGUAACGGGGAAUCAGGGUUCCAUUCAGUACAGGGACCCUGAGAAAUGGCUACCACAUGCAAGAAAGGCAGCAGGCGCGCAAAUGACCCACUCCCGACGUGGGAAAGUAGUGACGA